Molecule: non-coding RNA, 781 nt
Organism: Heterocephalus glaber (naked mole-rat)
Lineage: Eukaryota; Metazoa; Chordata; Mammalia; Rodentia; Bathyergidae
Source: RefSeq, a predicted model, not a curated record
UCUCUGUCUCUCUUUCUCUGCAGGAUUGUGAGUGAUCCUCUCUUGUCUCUCAACAGCAAGAGGUUGGUUAUGGACAAGAUCUCAUCUCCAGAGGAGGAGGAGAAAAAGCCAUGAAGGUUUUCAAAGGUAUAAUUAUGCAAAGGAAAGAAUCCAGCAAAGAAUUGCCAGAGAAGGAAUAAAAAAUAAGAUUUUAUAUGAAAGCACCCACCUUGAUCCUGAAAGAAAACAAACCAACAGCAACAACUGAGCAACUUGAACAUGGAAAAUGGAACUCUUGAAGUCAGUGUGAACAAUGUUGGGGUCAACUACACAGAGCAUUUUAUACAUACAAAUAAAGUAUGUUUAAACCAUAAAAAAAAAAAUUAACAAAAGCAAACAUCAGGCCUGAAUUAUUAUACCAGAAUGAUAUUUUCUCAAGACCACAACCAUGCUGCCCUUUCAAUAGCCAGGAGAUUAUGUUUGUCACCAGCUCCUAAGAACAACCUUACUCCUGAGCAAAAAUAGCACUGCAGGUAUUGCAGGAGACACGCAGUUAAAAGUCACUUCUGCCCUCUUGGGCUUGCUAGUACAAUCCCUGGCCCCAAGUGAGUAGCCAGUAAUGACUACAUAUGGUGCUCACUACAGAAGUCACUAGGAUAUGCACAGGUGCUGCUUUGCUCCUCAGGGACAUGUGGUAGGACUUCUAUCCUCACCUCAUUCCACACGGUGCACCUCAGAAUCAGAGCACAUCACGCUGCAUUAAAACCACACUCUGGGAACACUAUGUGCAGGGCUGUCUGGU